Molecule: ribosomal RNA, 465 nt
Filed under: uncultured bacterium
Lineage: Bacteria
Description: bacterial SSU rRNA
Rfam family: Bacterial small subunit ribosomal RNA
Source: RNAcentral
UCCCAGACUCCUACGGGAGGCAGCAGUGGGGAAUAUUGCACAAUGGGGGAAACCCUGAUGCAGCGACGCCGCGUGAGUGAAGAAGUAUUUCGGUAUGUAAAGCUCUAUCAGCAGGGAAGAAAUAGCGACCUUUGGGUCGCCAGACGGUACCUGACUAAGAAGCCCCGGCUAACUACGUGCCAGCAGCCGCGGUAAUACGUAGGGGGCAAGCGUUAUCCGGAUUUACUGGGUGUAAAGGGAGCGUAGACGGCAGCACAAGUCUGAAGUGAAAUGCCGGGGCUUAACCCCGGAACUGCAUUGGAAACUGUAUUUCUAGAGUGUCGGAGAGGCAAGUGGAAUUCCUGGUGUAGCGGUGAAAUGCGUAGAUAUCAGGAGGAACACCAGUGGCGAAGGCGGCUUGCUGGACGAUGACUGACGUUGAGGCUCGAAAGCGUGGGGAGCGAACAGGAUUAGAUACCCCUGUAU